UUCUGUGAUGCCUCUUAGAUGUUCUGGGCCGCACGCGCGCUACACUGACAGAGCCAGCGAGUACUCCCUUGGCCGGAAGGCCCGGGUAAUCUUGUUAAACUCUGUCGUGCUGGGGAUAGAGCAUUGCAAUUAUUGCUCUUCAACGAGGAAUCCCUAGUAAGCGCAAGUCAUCAGCUUGCGUUGAUUACGUCCCUGCCCUUUGUACACACC
This 210-nucleotide ribosomal RNA is filed under the name uncultured fungus. RNAcentral describes it as "partial 18S rRNA". It matches the Rfam family "Eukaryotic small subunit ribosomal RNA", at positions 1460 to 1670 of the family's 1831-position model. The record is from RNAcentral. Lineage: Eukaryota; Fungi.